RNAcentral lists this ribosomal RNA (252 nucleotides) under uncultured Bacteroidales bacterium. RNAcentral describes it as "partial 16S ribosomal RNA". It matches the Rfam family "Bacterial small subunit ribosomal RNA", at positions 524 to 776 of the family's 1533-position model. Lineage: Bacteria; Pseudomonadati; Bacteroidota; Bacteroidia; Bacteroidales. The record is from RNAcentral.
UACGGAGGAUGCGAGCGUUAUCCGGAUUUAUUGGGUUUAAAGGGUGCGUAGGCGGACGCUUAAGUCAGCGGUAAAAUUGCGGGGCUCAACCUCGUCGAGCCGUUGAAACUGGGUGCCUUGAGUGGGCGAGAAGUACGCGGAAUGCGUGGUGUAGCGGUGAAAUGCAUAGAUAUCACGCAGAACUCCGAUUGCGAAGGCAGCUCACUGGACUGCAACUGACACUGAGGCUCGAAAGUGUGGGUAUCAAACAGG